This 198-nucleotide small nuclear RNA is filed under the name Musa acuminata subsp. malaccensis (wild Malaysian banana). RNAcentral describes it as "U2 spliceosomal RNA". It matches the Rfam family "U2 spliceosomal RNA". From Rfam's summary of the family: U2 is a small nuclear RNA (snRNA) component of the spliceosome (involved in pre-mRNA splicing). Complementary binding between U2 snRNA (in an area lying towards the 5' end but 3' to hairpin I) and the branchpoint sequence (BPS) of the intron results the bulging out of an unpaired adenosine, on the BPS, which initiates a nucleophilic attack at the intronic 5' splice site, thus starting the first of two transesterification reactions that mediate splicing. The record is from Rfam by way of RNAcentral. Lineage: Eukaryota; Viridiplantae; Streptophyta; Magnoliopsida; Zingiberales; Musaceae.
AUACCUUUCUCGGCCUUUUGGCUAAGAUCAAGUGUAGUAUCUGUUCUUAUCAGUUUAAUAUCUGAUAUGUGGGUCAUCAACCCACUAUGAUAUUAAAUUAUUUUUUUAUGGGGGAGGGUUCACCGUAGUCGCUUGCCACUGGGACCCUCACGUGUCGCCCAUGCGUUGCAUUGUUUGCAUGGGCUUGGCGCACCUUGA